This 506-nucleotide ribosomal RNA is filed under the name uncultured bacterium. RNAcentral's name for it is "partial 16S ribosomal RNA". It matches the Rfam family "Bacterial small subunit ribosomal RNA", at positions 28 to 507 of the family's 1533-position model. The record is from RNAcentral.
GACGAACGCUGGCGGCGUGCUUAACACAUGCAAGUCGAACGGUGAAGGGACUGGUUUUGCUGGUCCUGGAUGAGUGGCGAACGGGUGAGUAACACGUGAGUAACCUGCCCCCUUCUUCUGGAUAACCGCAUGAAAGUGUGGCUAAUACGGGAUAUUCUGGGUCUGUCGCAUGGUGGGCCUGGGAAAGAUUGCGCCUUUUUUGGUGUUUUUGGUGGGGGAUGGGCUCGCGGCCUAUCAGCUUGUUGGUGGGGUGAUGGCCUACCAAGGCGGUGACGGGUAGCCGGCCUGAGAGGGUGGACGGUCACACUGGGACUGAGACACGGCCCAGACUCCUACGGGAGGCAGCAGUGGGGAAUAUUGCACAAUGGGCGCAAGCCUGAUGCAGCGACGCCGCGUGAGGGAUGGAGGCCUUCGGGUUGUGAACCUCUUUUGCCAGUGAAGCAGGCCUGCCUCUUUUUGUGGGUGGGUUGACGGUAGCUGGAUAAGAAGCGCCGGCUAACUACGUG